CCAAAUAUCUGUUAGUUGUUUAAGUUUGAAAAUAAGCUUGUCAAUUUUGCUGAAAAUAAUACAUUUUAUGUUCUGGUUGGCGAUUCUAAUGUGAGACCAAAGAUAGUCGGCAAUCAAUAUGGAGAAGGCCCAUCCUUUGUGCUUGUCUAUAUCUCAUCUCGUUGAAGAUGUUGAAGCAUGCCUAAAUUUUGGUGGAAUAACAAAAAGUCAGCGUAAAUCAAGUUAAGGAUUCUGAUGGUGUGCAAACAUCAAAGGAACAUCAUUCUAAUAGGAGAAGCAAUAGUGAUCUGCAUCUGGCUUUUAAUGGUGAAGAUAAGACAAAAUCUGCAU
RNAcentral lists this long non-coding RNA (330 nucleotides) under Lupinus angustifolius (narrow-leaved blue lupine). RNAcentral's name for it is "long non-coding RNA (LANG_LNC001288)". The record is from RNAcentral. Lineage: Eukaryota; Viridiplantae; Streptophyta; Magnoliopsida; Fabales; Fabaceae.